Molecule: ribosomal RNA, 481 nt
Filed under: uncultured bacterium
Lineage: Bacteria
Description: partial 16S ribosomal RNA
Rfam family: Bacterial small subunit ribosomal RNA
Source: RNAcentral
GAUGAACGCUGGCGGCGUGCUUAACACAUGCAAGUCGAACGAAGCACUUUAUUUGAUUUCCUUCGGGACUGAUUAUUUUGUGACUGAGUGGCGGACGGGUGAGUAACGCGUGGGUAACCUGCCUUGUACAGGGGGAUAACAGUUGGAAACGGCUGCUAAUACCGCAUAAGCGCACAGCAUCGCAUGAUGCAGUGUGAAAAACUCCGGUGGUAUAAGAUGGACCCGCGUUGGAUUAGCUAGUUGGUGAGGUAACGGCCCACCAAGGCGACGAUCCAUAGCCGACCUGAGAGGGUGACCGGCGACAUUGGGACUGAGACACGGCCCAAACUCCUACGGGAGGCAGCAGUGGGGAAUAUUGCACAAUGGGCGAAAGCCUGAUGCAGCGACGCCGCGUGAGCGAAGAAGUAUUUCGGUAUGUAAAGCUCUAUCAGCAGGGAAGAUAAUGACGGUACCUGACUAAGAAGCACCGGCUAAAUACGUG